CAUAUGAAAUGCAAAUAGUUGUAUCUAAAGUGGUGUCUAUUAAGCAUUGCUCAGCCUGGGUUGAACUGAUGUUUCUGAUAUUCUGGUCUUGGUUGAUUCUACCUUCAAACAGGGAGUUUUGGGGAGCCAAUGUAGAGGGAAUUUUUAAGGUUUUGGUUUUUCACUAAGCCGUUUCUCACCACCCCUUUUUUUUUUUCAGAUCUUACUCUUUCCUCUCCUUGUCUCAUGUACCACCAGAAAUCUAUAGCAGGAGGCUCUAGAUUUAGAUCUCUAAUGAAGAUGCAAAGGGAGUUCUGUAACUACUGCUUUGACAGCAGAUACUAGUUCCUCAUAGAACCCCGAUGUCAAUACUGAGCAGGCUGCACUGAGUGGCAGAAAGUGCCACAUGAAAAAAAAAUGCUACUUCAUUUACAGAUAAAUGGCUCUUCUUCUGUGACCACUAUUGGGAAACUGGAAUCACUGAAGUGUUCAGAUGUCCUUGAGGGUAAAGGAGAUGAAGAAUUCUCUUGAAAUGAUGGUAUCAGGAAUUGAUCAGUAAGGACAAUGCAGAUAUGGAAGAACUGCAUGGAAAAAUUAGACAUGUUAGAAGCCUGGAAAAAAUCAAGCAGUGAGCACUUGAGAAACUGGGCAAAUAAGAGGUCAACAAAGUAAUCCUCAAAGUUCAAGGAAUGGUACAAAGAUGGAAGAAAUAACUCUCCUGCCUUGUCACCAAAAAUUGAGAAGAGCCUUGGAGCACUGAAAUACAUCAGUAUUUGGACAUUUUCAUCAAUGGAUGUUUUUAAGAAUAGACAAGAACUACUGCAAAUUGUUUAGGACAUGUAGGAGCAAACAUGUGAGAUACUAAUUUAACAAAUUUCCAUCCCACCACAUGUUCUGUGUAAAUCUUGGUUGAUGGUUAAAACUUUUCCUCCAUGAAAAUUUCCUAACACAAGAAGUCAAUGUGAAGUAAUUGCUGGGAAUGACUCUACAAAGAAGGGUUUUCUCUGACUCCCCAUUUUCUGGUCCUGGCUCCUGCUUCUUUUUGAACUCAAGAAUAGAUGAGGAGCAAUGAGUGGUUACAGAUGUAAUCUCUGUCAGGAGGAACAUCUUUCUUCUGUUUAUUUGCAUCAGACUUUUAUUUCUCUGUUAGCAUUAGAGACCUAAACUGUGUACAGAAAAAUGGUUCUAAAAAUCAUCUGAUUUUGAAGUGUAGCAUCUUGGCCAAAUGCUUUUACUCCACUAGCAAAUACUUGCCAGACACUAUCUGCAGCAGAAUUGGAAUCAUAUUAGUAGUGGAUACAGCUCCAAGUUCCUUCUGAAAGAUGGAGGUGCAGGGCUUUGGUAAUUUUUGAUUUAUUUACUCUUGGUAGUGUGAUAGCAUAACAAAAAUUGAGAAUGUAGUUAAAUAGAAAGACUUUUAGAAAAGUAAACAUUAUCCAUUCCCCCACCAUGCUGAAACAGAUUUAAAGAAGUAAUGCAUGCGGAAUAAAGAUGAUGGAACCAUAAAAACAACCUUUUGAUGAAAAAAAAAAAGUAGCAAAAGUAGCCUCUGUGAAAAAUAUUGCAAUGGUGUUUCAUGCUUUUUGAGAGAAAUUGUUUGGGUGUUGUUUUCCAUACGGAGAAAUGGGGAGAUUAAAGAUUUAACUUAAUCCUUUCAGAUGACAAUUCACUUGUCAUUUCCUAUUAAAAAUCACUGGAUUCUGUUUUCCUGCUUUAGUUUGUAGAAGGUUUUAAUAUUCACAGCUAUGAUUGUUCUUGAGACUUAAGUUUUUCUGUCCAGCAGGGUUUAGGA
Long non-coding RNA from Passer domesticus (house sparrow), 1771 nucleotides. RefSeq lists it as uncharacterized. NCBI's taxonomy places the organism in Eukaryota, Metazoa, Chordata, Aves, Passeriformes, Passeridae. The transcript has 3 exons. The record is from RefSeq and is a predicted model, not a curated record.